Molecule: ribosomal RNA, 492 nt
Filed under: uncultured bacterium
Lineage: Bacteria
Description: partial 16S ribosomal RNA
Rfam family: Bacterial small subunit ribosomal RNA
Source: RNAcentral
AGUGAACGCUGGCGGUAGGCCUAACACAUGCAAGUCGAACGGCAGCACAGUAAGAGCUUGCUCUUACGGGUGUCGAGUGGCGGACGGGUGAGGAAUACAUCGGAAUCUACUUUUUCGUGGGGGAUAACGUAGGGAAACUUACGCUAAUACCGCAUACGACCUACGGGUGAAAGCAGGGGAUCUUCGGACCUUGCGCGAUUGUAUGAGCCGAUGUCGGAUUAGCUAGUUGGCGGGGUAAAGGCCCACCAAGGCGACGAUCCGUAGCUGGUCUGAGAGGAUGAUCAGCCACACUGGAACUGAGAAACGGUCCAGACUCCGACGGGAGGCAGCAGUGGGGAAUAUUGGACAAAGGGGGAAAGCCUGAUACAGCCAUACCGCGUGGGUGAAGAAGGACUUCGGGUUGUAAAGCCAUUUUGUUGGGAAAGAAAAACAGCAGGUUAAUACCCCGCUGUUAUGACGGUACCCAAAGAAUAAGCACCGGCUAACUUCGUG